AUCUGCCUGGUAGUGGGGGAUAACGUUCGGAAACGGACGCUAAUACCGCAUACGUCCUACGGGAGAAAGUGGGGGAUCUUCGGACCUCACGCUAUCAGAUGAGCCUAGGUCGGAUUAGCUAGUUGGUGGGGUAAUGGCUCACCAAGGCGACGAUCCGUAACUGGUCUGAGAGGAUGAUCAGUCACACUGGAACUGAGACACGGUCCAGACUCCUACGGGAGGCAGCAGUGGGGAAUAUUGGACAAUGGGCGAAAGCCUGAUCCAGCCAUGCCGCGUGUGUGAAGAAGGUCUUCGGAUUGUAAAGCACUUUAAGUUGGGAGGAAGGGCAGCUAGUUAAUACCUGGUUGUUUUGACGUUACCAACAGAAUAAGCACCGGCUAACUUCGUGCCAGCAGCCGCGGUAAUACGAAGGGUGCAAGCGUUAAUCGGAAUUACUGGGCGUAAAGCGCGCGUAGGUGGUUCAGCAAGUUGGAGGUGAAAUCCCCGGGCUCAACCUGGGAACUGCCUCCAAAACUACUGAGCUAGAGUACGGUAGAGGGUAGUGGAAUUUCCUGUGUAGCGGUGAAAUGCGUAGAUAUAGGAAGGAACACCAGUGGCGAAGGCGACUACCUGGACUGAUACUGACACUGAGGUGCGAAAGCGUGGGGAGCAAACAGGAUUAGAUACCCUGGUAGUCCACGCCGUAAACGAUGUCGACUAGCCGUUGGGAUCCUUGAGAUCUUAGUGGCGAAGCUAACGCGAUAAGUCGACCGCCUGGGGAGUACGGCCGCAAGGUUAAAACUCAA
Molecule: ribosomal RNA, 785 nt
Filed under: Pseudomonas sp.
Lineage: Bacteria; Pseudomonadati; Pseudomonadota; Gammaproteobacteria; Pseudomonadales; Pseudomonadaceae
Description: bacterial SSU rRNA
Rfam family: Bacterial small subunit ribosomal RNA
Source: RNAcentral